CCUGACUGCUAUCGGAUUGAUACUAAGCCAUGCGAGUCUUUGUAGUAAUACAAGGCAGACGGCUCAGUAACACGUAGUCAACCUACCCUAUGGACAAGAAUAAUCUCGGGAAACUGGGCAUAAUUCUUGAUAGAUCAUAAUGCCUGGAAUGGUUUAUGGUUAAAAUGAUUCGUCGCCAUAGGAUGGGACUGCGGCCUAUCAGCUUGUUGGUGAGGUAAUGGCCCACCAAGGCGAUUACAGGUACGGGCUCUGAGAGGAGAAGCCCGGAGAUGGGUACUGAGACACGGACCCAGGCCCUAUGGGGCGCAGCAGGCGAGAAAACUUUGCAAUGUGCGAAAGCACGACAAGGUUAAUCCGAGUGAUUUCUGCUAAAGAAAUCUUUUGCCAGUCAUAAAACCACUGGCGAAUAAGGGGUGGGCAAGUUCUGGUGUCAGCCGCCGCGGUAAAACCAGCACCUCAAGUGGUCAGGAUGAUUAUUGGGCCUAAAGCAUCCGUAGCCGGCUUUGUAAGUUUUCGGUUAAAUCCAUGUGCUCAACGCAUGGGCUGCCGAAAAUACUGCAUGGCUAGGGAGUGGGAGAGGUAGACGGUACUCAGUAGGAAGGGGUAAAAUCCUUUGAUCUAUUGAUGACCACCUGUGGCGAAGGCGGUCUACCAGAACACGUUCGACGGUGAGGGAUGAAAGCUGGGGGAGCAAACCGGAUUAGAUACCCGGGUAGUCCCAGCUGUAAACGAUGCAGACUCGAUGAUGCAUUGGCAUAAUAGCCAGUGCAGUGUCGCAGGGAAGCCGUUAAGUCUGCCGCCUGGGAAGUACGUACGCAAGUAUGAAACUUAAAGGAAUUGGCGGGGGAGCACCACAAGGGGUGAAGCCUGCGGUUC
Molecule: ribosomal RNA, 876 nt
Filed under: uncultured archaeon
Lineage: Archaea
Description: bacterial SSU rRNA
Rfam family: Archaeal small subunit ribosomal RNA
Source: RNAcentral